This 23-nucleotide non-coding RNA is filed under the name Arabidopsis thaliana (thale cress). Lineage: Eukaryota; Viridiplantae; Streptophyta; Magnoliopsida; Brassicales; Brassicaceae. The record is from RNAcentral.
UUUGUUGAAAGCCAAUGGACCUA